CAGUCGCCGCGGGAAUACGUAGGUGGCAAGCGUUGUCCGGAAUUAUUGGGCGUAAAGGGCUCGCAGGCGGUUUCUUAAGUCUGAUGUGAAAGCCCCCGGCUCAACCGGGGAGGGUCAUUGGAAACUGGGAAACUUGAGUGCAGAAGAGGAGAGUGGAAUUCCACGUGUAGCGGUGAAAUGCGUAGAGAUGUGGAGGAACACCAGUGGCGAAGGCGACUUUCUGGUCUGUAACUGACGCUGAUGUGCGAAAGCGUGGGGAUCAAACAGGAUUAGAUACCCGGGUAGUCCCUGUCUCUUAUAU
This 301-nucleotide ribosomal RNA is filed under the name uncultured bacterium. RNAcentral's name for it is "partial 16S ribosomal RNA". It matches the Rfam family "Bacterial small subunit ribosomal RNA", at positions 509 to 809 of the family's 1533-position model. The record is from RNAcentral.